CGCCCCCCCGCGCUCCGGCGGCGCUGCCCGCGGCUGAGGUGCGCGCUGUGUGCCGGUGGGCUGCGCUCCCAGCCGGGGUUGUGCCCGCUGGGGGGGACCUGAGCGGCUUGGGCACAAGUGCUGUGGGCUGAGCUUGAGGGAGACGGGAUGUUCUCCACACUCUGAAAGUGAAGUGAAGUGGGAAGCAAGGAAGAAGGAUGCUUAGAAGAAAGGCUGAUGCCCUGUUUCCCACCAGCAAUGGAGGAAAGGGUGAGGCAGGACUGGGAAGGAUAAAGCUAUCGCUGCCAGCUGGGAGCCAAGCAGACAGGCUGAGUUUCGUGAGCAGCACUGCACCGACGGACAGAUGUCAUGCCCAGGCUGGCCUGCUUUAUGUAAGUCAGCCUUUCCUGUGUGUAAAGGGUGCCAGAGGCACUUGCCAGCUGGUGAGGAUCUAUGCAGUUAAAGGGUGUGUUAAUCCACAGUGACUGCUCUAUAAAUACAGACUUGGAUCUUGUUACUUGUCUGGUGAGCUCACGGUGCUCAUGUUUCCUUAGCAAUUGCUGCCCUUUUUGGCUUAAGCAAACAGAUACGGUAUUAAAUGUUCACCAUCCCUUGGUGCCCACUGAGGUGUUUCAAGAGUCCGUGCCUGGCUUCUCCCUGAGACUCAAACCUGUGAUGAUGGCUCUGCACAAUCCCUUUUCUGCAUGGGACUGCUGUCUAGGAAGGUUGUGAGUGGGACUUGUCCCUGUGACUGAUUUUACUCUUUCAAAUGUGUAGUAAUUCACAGCACUUAGGAAGCCUUCUCAAAAAUGAGAGUAAAAUUAAAAAACAUUUUGCUUGAAAA
Non-coding RNA from Phasianus colchicus (ring-necked pheasant), 823 nucleotides. Lineage: Eukaryota; Metazoa; Chordata; Aves; Galliformes; Phasianidae. The record is from RefSeq and is a predicted model, not a curated record.